RNAcentral lists this long non-coding RNA (597 nucleotides) under Numida meleagris (helmeted guineafowl). Its description in RNAcentral is "lncRNA (ENSNMEG00000014715.1)". Lineage: Eukaryota; Metazoa; Chordata; Aves; Galliformes; Numididae. The record is from RNAcentral.
AGCUAACCUCACAGACUGAAAGAGGGAGCUGUGGGAAGAUUGUGGGCUGCUGGAGUUUUCUCCCUGCGGAGCUGAUCCUGUUGGGAGCUGUUCUUGGCAGUGUUCAGGGGAUGCAGGUGAGGUUGUCCCAUGCUCACUUGUUGAGGAUGGACAGCUGCACAAAUACAAAUUCCAGCCAGGGCCUUUGGGGAAACCCACAGCCAGUCACAGCUUGAGAUCUUCCCUUCAUCCCAGCUUCCCUGGAGCUGCCAUGCCGUUCCAUUCCAAGUUCAAUAUGAAGAUGCUGAAAAUCCUUUUGAGGCUGAUACCCUCAUUCUGCUGCAGAGAGCCUGGUCUAUGUGUCAGACGUCCCUGUACAUCCAGAGAGGCAGCAGCAUGUGCCCCAGACUUGUGCCUGGUUUUUAGGAGUGGGAGGUUGGCUGCCCUUUCCUACAGAUGGCUCAUCAGAAGACUUUCUCGGGGUACUCACUUCCACGAGGAGGAAGCAUACAAAAGCAGAUGAGAUAAAAACAGCGAAGCUGAAGGUCAGUUUUUGAACUAGGUUGGUUUUUACUGCUGUGAGCCAGUACUGAGCAACGAAUUGCCAUCGUGUUUGUG